Molecule: ribosomal RNA, 381 nt
Filed under: uncultured eukaryote
Lineage: Eukaryota
Description: partial 18S ribosomal RNA
Rfam family: Eukaryotic small subunit ribosomal RNA
Source: RNAcentral
CAAUAGCGUAUAUUAAAGCUGUUGCGGUUAAAAAGCUCGUAGUUGGAUUUCUGUCAAGGACAACUGGUCCGCCCCUCGGGUGAGCACAUAGUUUGGUCUAGGCAUCUUGUUGGAAACUGUUGCUGCACUUGGUUGUGUGGCGCAGUGUCCAGCACUUUCACUUUGAGGAAAUUGGAGUGUUUCAAGCAGGCACAUGCCUUUGGACACAGUAGCAUGGAAUAAUUAGAUUGGGCUUUUGCUCCAACUUGUCGGUUUCUGGAGCUGAGGUGAGAAUUAAUGGGGAUUGUUGGGGGCAUCCGAAUUUAGCCGUCAGAGGUGAAAUUCUUGGAUCUGCUAAAGACGGACAACUGCGAAAGCGUUUGCCCAGGAUGUUUUCAUUGA